AGGCCAAUGCAAGAGCCAAGGUAA
RNAcentral lists this non-coding RNA (24 nucleotides) under Rattus norvegicus (Norway rat). The record is from RNAcentral. Lineage: Eukaryota; Metazoa; Chordata; Mammalia; Rodentia; Muridae.